UGGGAUGUUGAUGUUGUUGAAAUCGAAACUCAAUCUUCGGUUCACAAAACCCUAGAUCAUCCCCCAAACGAACCCGACCCGGAUUCACCUCUCGAAUUGGAUUCAGUUUCGUCAUCGGUUUCAUUAGAAUCUGCACGUCCUUCAAUCGCUGAGUCGAAUGUUUCUGGAGGGUCAAAUUCACCUCCUAAAUCGGAAGGGAGGAGGAUAUUUUACCA
This 215-nucleotide unclassified non-coding RNA is filed under the name Hevea brasiliensis (rubber tree). Lineage: Eukaryota; Viridiplantae; Streptophyta; Magnoliopsida; Malpighiales; Euphorbiaceae. The record is from RNAcentral.